GGGCAGAGGGAUCCUGCUCCCCUCGUCACCGCUGCUUCUCUCUGCUGCCUGCUGAAGAGGGCAGGAAGGAGCCUGUGAGCCGUCUGGAGAAGCCUCGCCUGAGCCUGCUGGAGAUGCCUGAGGAGUCCUCUUCUUCCAGCAGGUUCCUUUGCCUCUGCAGCUCCCUGGCAGCUCUGGAGAAGGAUGGGACCUGGCUUCACGGAUGCCCUUUGGCUCUCUGACCUCCGGAGGAUGAGUUCUGCUCACGUCCAAGCUGGGGUUUGGCACCCAGCUGGGGUUUAGCUGCAGCCACGCUCCAGCCCCCAGCUGGGCUGUGUUGGUGGCACAGGCACUGAGUAGGUGACUGCUCCGUGUGUGCCAGCACAGCACUGCCAGGUGCUCUUCCCAGUGCUCCACAGGCUGUGCAGGGGGCUUAGGUCUAACCCUUUUGCCUUCUUUAGCUCCAUGAAGUAUGGAGAUGUCUGGGGUUGAAGUCA
This is a long non-coding RNA of Pogoniulus pusillus (Red-fronted tinkerbird), 476 nucleotides long. RefSeq lists it as uncharacterized. The transcript has 2 exons. The record is from RefSeq and is a predicted model, not a curated record. NCBI's taxonomy places the organism in Eukaryota, Metazoa, Chordata, Aves, Piciformes, Lybiidae.